This is a small nuclear RNA of Octodon degus (degu), 109 nucleotides long. Lineage: Eukaryota; Metazoa; Chordata; Mammalia; Rodentia; Octodontidae. The record is from Ensembl.
GAGCUCGCUUCAGCAGCACUUCCACUGUAACACUGGACCGGUACAGAGAAGAUCAGCGCAGGCCUUGCUCGAGGAUGACACACAAACUCACGAAGCAGUCCAUAUUUUU